AGCAGCCGCGGUAAUUCCAGCUCCAAUAGCGUAUAUUAAAGUUGUUGCAGUUAAAAAGCUCGUAGUUGAAUUUCGGGGUUAGUAGGUUGGUCAUGCCUCUGGUAUGUACUGGUCUCACUGAUUCCUCCUUCCUGAUGAACCUUAAUGCCAUUAAUUUGGUGUUUUGGGGAAUUUGGACUGUUACUUUGAAAAAUUAGAGUGUUUAAAGCAAGCUAACGCUUGAAUACAUUAGCAUGGAAUAAUGAAAUAGGACGUUCGAUCCUAUUUUGUUGGUUUCUAGGAUUGACGUAAUGAUUAAUAGGGAUAGUUGGGGGCAUUAGUAUUCAAUUGUCAGAGGUGAAAUUCUUGGAUUUAUUGAAGACUAACUACUGCGAAAGCAUUUGCCAAGGAUGUUUUCAUUAAUCAAGAACGAAAGUUAGGGGAUCGAAGACGAUCAGAUACCGUCGUAGUCUUAACCAUAAACUAUGCCGACUAGGGAUCGGAUGAUGUUAAUUUUUAAU
This 500-nucleotide ribosomal RNA is filed under the name uncultured Glomus. Its description in RNAcentral is "SSU rRNA". It matches the Rfam family "Eukaryotic small subunit ribosomal RNA", at positions 569 to 1074 of the family's 1831-position model. The record is from RNAcentral. Lineage: Eukaryota; Fungi; Glomeromycota; Glomeromycetes; Glomerales; Glomeraceae.